GACGAACGCUGGCGGCGUGCUUAACACAUGCAAGUCGAACGAAGAGCGAUGGAAGCUUGCUUCUAUCAAUCUUAGUGGCGAACGGGUGAGUAACGCGUAAUCAACCUGCCCUUCAGAGCGGGGACAACAGUUGGAAACGACUGCUAAUACCGCAUACGAUCUGACCUCGGCAUCGAGGAUGGAUGAAAGGUGGCCUCUAUUUAUAAGCUAUCACUGAAGGAGGGGAUUGCGUCUGAUUAGCUAGUUGGAGGGGUAACGGCCCACCAAGGCGAUGAUCAGUAGCCGGUCUGAGAGGAUGAACGGCCACAUUGGGACUGAGACACGGCCCAGACUCCUACGGGAGGCAGCAGUGGGGAAUCUUCCGCAAUGGACGAAAGUCUGACGGAGCAACGCCGCGUGAGUGAUGACGGCCUUCGGGUUGUAAAGCUCUGUUAAUCGGGACGAAAGGCCUUCUUGCGAAUAGUUAGAAGGAUUGACGGACCG
RNAcentral lists this ribosomal RNA (483 nucleotides) under Veillonella dispar. RNAcentral's name for it is "bacterial SSU rRNA". It matches the Rfam family "Bacterial small subunit ribosomal RNA", at positions 28 to 480 of the family's 1533-position model. The record is from RNAcentral. Lineage: Bacteria; Bacillati; Bacillota; Negativicutes; Veillonellales; Veillonellaceae.